Molecule: ribosomal RNA, 775 nt
Filed under: uncultured Neocallimastigales
Lineage: Eukaryota; Fungi; Neocallimastigomycota; Neocallimastigomycetes; Neocallimastigales
Description: partial large subunit ribosomal RNA
Rfam family: Eukaryotic large subunit ribosomal RNA
Source: RNAcentral
UAUACAUGACUCUGCGCAUAUCAAUAAGCGGAGGAAAAGAAACUAACAAGGAUUCCCUUAGUAACGGCGAGUGAAGCGGGAAGAGCUCAAAUUUGAAAUCUUCAAGGUUCUACCUUGACGAAUUGUAGUUUAUAGAAGUGUUUUCUGUUAGUAGAGUGGCAAAAGUUCUUUGGAAUAGGACAUCAUAGAGGGUGAGAAUCCCGUAUUUGGUCAUUCUUUCUAGCUUUGUGAUACACUUUCAACGAGUCGGAUUGUUUGGGAAUGCAGUCCAAAAUGGGUGGUAAAUUUCAUCUAAAGCUAAAUAUUGGCGAGAGACCGAUAGCGAACAAGUACCGUGAGGGAAAGAUGAGAAGAACUUUGAAAAGAGAGUUAAACAGUACGUGAAAUUGUCAAAAGGGAAGCGUUUGACACCAGUGUUGUUUAGUUGAAAAUCAAUUCAAUAGUUUUUGAUUCUAAGUAGUCAUUGACUUCAUCAGCUUGCUGCUUUCUUCUCAGAAAUUAUUGAAUGCACUUUUCAGUUAACAAGUCAACAUCAAUUUCUUUUGUUGUAAAAGGGUGAGAGGAAGGUGGCUUGCGCUUCGGCUCAAGUGUUUAUAGCCUUUUAUCUCUGCAAUCGGAGAGAUUGAGGUCUGCAGCGUAGAUCCUUCGGGGUUAGAUACAUUGGUGCUAAGCUAUAGCCUUGUAUAGACAACUUGUUGACUAUGCUCAGUCAUGUAGCUUACUCGCUUAUGCUAAUUUUACCUACGCUUAGGAUGUUGACACACGCGCGUGCUCG